Long non-coding RNA from Cygnus olor (mute swan), 11938 nucleotides. RefSeq lists it as uncharacterized. Lineage: Eukaryota; Metazoa; Chordata; Aves; Anseriformes; Anatidae. The record is from RefSeq and is a predicted model, not a curated record. The transcript is spliced from 5 exons.
UGACUUGCUGCAAACCUCUAGCAUCUGCAUCAUGUUGCAGCACUGGGAUCUGCAGUAGAGCUAAGCAUUUCUUGAAUAACUGCUCUGCUUCUGCAUGCCUUCAUGUUUUCUUUCAAGAUAUCUUCCAGAGAAAUCUGAAAAUGUAGAUGACAAGAAAAAUCUGCCAGUGGCUAAAGAAUGAGUCUAGCAGAGGUGAGAGUCAGCUGGAGGAAAAGUGCAGGGUGCUCAGUUCAGGGUUGCUGUGUCUCUAGGUGAUGAAGCCCACAACUAGCUUUUAGGGUCUGCUGCGGAGAGGACAGUGGUGGCUGGAGAAGUGAGGCCCCCAGGUCCAUCCUUCCUGCUCAGUGUCAGUAAUUUUGGGGGACUGGCCCAAUUUAGGGAUUUGUCUGUGAGGUAGGGGCACCAGAAUGCACUGGUCAGUACAAGAAACUGUUGGUAUGGGCUGGACAACUCGAACCAGUGGCAGGAGCAUGGAGAGGAGGUAAGCACCUCUCCCCCAGACAACACCUCGUGCCAUCCUCCCCUCAGGGGCUGCCCCUUCUUCUGCUCUUUGCAAGCUUAUCUCAGGUAUUGGGUAGUGCAAGCUCGUCUCGGGUAUCGUAGGGCCUCCCCACAGCUCAAGUGCAUUUUGACUUACUCAGCACGUCUCGUGAUUUUACUUAGAUCCCUCAGGACCCUGUGAGGUCUAAGCCUGAGCACUCUUUAUUUUCUUGGCUGAACCAGAAACUUUCAAAAUUGCUUUCAUCUAAACAGCAUUUUUGCUGUGUGUGCGCAUCUGGGAGGGAAGUGCUCUUUUCUUUGGGAGAUGCUAAUAACUCACUGAUGAAGAGUGCCAGAAAGCUAUCCCAUGCGCUGACAAAGAACAAUAGGAAGACACAACCAUUUUGAAACCUGCGGCAACGUCCUCCAGCCACAAGUGGAAGGGCUGAGGAGGGGCUGGUUGGCCCCAUAGCAUGCAGAGAUGGACAGGGCCCCAUUGAUAGGCCAUGCCAACAGGCCUGGUCCAUGUGUGUUGUGCUGGGAACAAGCAGGGGGAGAGCCCAGAAAACAGCUUCUGGUGGGUGUUGGGGUCAGGGCUGGGGUAGGCCUCUGUGCUGGGGAACUCCAGUUCGUAGGCAAUUAACCCUGGUUGGCAAAUGAAACACAGCUCUGCAGGCUCUUUAACACACAGCUGUCUUCCAGUGCAUAUUUUCCUUCUCUUUUCUAAUGUCCAACAACUGUGCUGUAACCUCUGCCCAGAUGGAGAAGGCAUUUCAGGCCAAACAGAAAGUCGCUCUCCAGUUUCAAGCAGGUUCUCAGCAGUAUGAGAGCAGUACCUGUGGGGUUCAGCGUGACAGGAGAGGCAAGGUUGCCUGUGGUGGUGGCUGCAGGGUUAUCAAGAAUGCUUCCAGGACUGCCAGAAGCUGAUCUGCCUUCUUUAUUGCCCACAGACAUAGUUCUGUGCUGUCUGUUGCUGAUGAAUAGAAAGCUGCUGGUACUGGCAAUGCAACCAUUGUAUUGAAUGAGGUUAACAUCCCCCUUUCAUGCCCAGCACCCUAGGCCAUUUGCUCCAUUCCUCCUGGCUGCUUCACCCCAACUGAAGGAAAGGCUGUGGUACAUCAGGACAGGAGCUACCUCUAGCCCCAGAUCCUAUCUCCACCAGUGGGUGACAGGUGCCCACAGGAAAAUUUAAGUUCGAGGCAGGCAUGUAGCCAUACUUUCCCCCAAAUGCUCUUCAUGCCUCUAGCAAAUUUUAUCUUGAGGAUCUCCUGCGUCAAGAUUUGGUAUCUAUACGUAUUAAGCCUGGAUGAAUUCCUCCUUCAGUAAUUAUACCAUUAUUUUUUAAACCUGUGUAAACCUUUAGCAUCUGCAACAACUUGUGGCAAGUAUUCCCACAGCUGAAAUGAAUGUUGUUUGAAGGAGGAGCUCCUUUUCCUUGCUUUGAACUCAUCACGAUAGCUUUAUUUAAUGAGUGAGGCUCAGAUGUUCUCCCACUGCUUGCUUGAUCACCUCAAAUGUUUCUGUCAGUUCUGCUGAUUUUCCUCAAUGUUCCUCAGAAAACUAGCUCUGAAAACAGACUGCCUUUACAGGUGGCUGUGGGAUUUGGUUAAAAAACCAAAAGUUCUGGGCAUGUGAGAAGGGUCUGCUUUCUGCAUACUUCCGCUGAAAAAAGCAAGUGAAAGCCACCUGUUUUACCCAUCAAGGCCCAUGGGAGCUAUCCCCUUCAAUAAUCUUUCUUGGAAAUAACUUGGGAGCCUGUAGUCGCACCUCCUCCUUCGAGGGAGCUACUGUUCCCUCGCCACAGGGAAGAGGAGGGUGAGGAGCUGCCGAGAGCAAGGUGGGUGGCACUGCACAGGGGAGGUGCGGGGAGGUGAUGCGCACAGAUAAUCAGAGUGCACUGCAGCCACCUGCAGUCCCUGGAGGGGGGAGACAGAGAGGAGAGGGACAGGAGGGAGUCCCUCCGAUCUGCAGCCAUGCAGGGGCUGGUAAAGACAGCAGGGAGAUGCUGCUGGGGCACAGAGAUGAGUCCACCGUCUGAUGGGCUUAUAUCACUUGCUCUUCCCCAUGACUUGCACACACAGAUGUGAAAUCCAGCUCUGCUGAGCGUGCCACAAAAACCAUUGCUAACAAAUAUUCCUCUCCUUUGUAGCAUCCGGAGCAGGGUCCUGCCUCUAUAACUUCUGCAGAUGCGGAGCAGUGAUUUCAAACUCAUCAGGAGGGCCCUUUUGAAUUUCAAGUUGGUUCACGGAAACAUGAGAGAGUGAAAUCUGAAUGUUCACACGGAGAUAAAAAAUCUGCAGAAGUUCGAGCGCUGCAACCAGUGGCACAGGACAAGGCAAUCAGAUGCUGCUGACACAUGUCAUCUGCUUCUGUCAGACUGGGACCAUUCAGCCAUGCCUGAAAUAGGAUAUGAGGCAGAAGAGCACAUGAAAAAGAGAAGCUAAGGACAGGGCUGGAUGAGUGGCUCCUGUUCCACGGGAUGAAUCUAUUCCAUGCGCUAGCCAUCUGCAAGCAGAAUUUCAACUGGAGGAUCUGUGGCACUCAUGGGACAAUGUAUGGAAAAGGAAGCUACAUUGCCAGAGAUGCCAGUUGCUCUUAUCGGUACUGCCCAUCCAGCACAGGCUACCACAGCAUGUUUGUAACUUUAGCUGUUGUUGGAGACUUUGUUCAUGGCAGCAAGGCCUACCUUUGCCCUCCCUCCAGACCUGAGAUUUCAAACAGACUUUCGGACAGCUGUGUAGACAAUCAAAAAAAUCCUUCAAUUUUUGUCAUCUUUGAGAAGAACCAGAUUUAUCCUGCCUAUAUCCUGGAGUAUACUUGUAGAAUGCUUUCAGAGGUAAUGAUAGGUUGUCUGAAAAAUACACUUGAACCAUAUGUGUUGUGUUUUUUUUUGAACUCUAUGUUGCAUGUAAAUACCUUAUAGGUGACUUUCAGAUACACUUCAGUUCUGUUUCAGUUGCAAGAGUGAAACUACAAGGACGGUGACCUAUGGAAUGGCUGGGUCCUCUAUGAGCGUUGUUUUCUUCCUAAACAGACUGGUGGCAGUUAAGUUGUAGUAAAUAAUAUAACCAUGACAAUGUGAUGAUGAUUUGGAUGCAAGUGUGAUGUAAAUUUAAAUGUGCGUUAUGAUUAAUUUAUAAAACUAAUUGCUUCCAUGUACAAUAUGAUACAUAACUAGAUGUUAUUUAGGACAUGCUUGGGGAAAUGAAUACAGAAAACAGGGAAAAUAGAGUAUAAAAAAGCAUGUUUGAGGAGUGACUCGCUGAAGUUGUUUUUCCACAGAGCGAAGAUCAUCAGCAUCUUGUCAGUGUAGGAAAAGCAGACAAUGGGCUCUGAGCUGUUUUUGUCCUGUGGUUUGGCUGCUUUGAGUUUUGUGGGAAGAAAAGGCUUUUAGAUCAUAUCCUAAAGGAGAGUUACAUGAUGUUCCCUAAUUUCUCCACUAGUCCCAUUUGGUUAUCUUGCACUAAGAGUCAGAAGGGCUCCAAUUCAGACAGGAAAAAAAAUUCCUGGAUAACAAAGAAGCAAGUGAUUCAUUGGCCUUCUUCAGUUUGCCUUGACUGCUGCUAAAGCUGGAGUAUGCAACGUACUGGGCAGCUUGUGAAGGGUCCCGUCUUCACUUAGCACCUCUGAUAGAAAGGGUAGAUGCCACAGGCUAUUCUGAAGUCCAGUCAUACCACAAAUCAGAACAACAGUAAUUUCCUGCUCCUCUAGAAACAGCUAAGUUGUUAUUAUGAGCUGUUUGUGCCCUCCUGGAGUGCAGGCUGGGCUGGGUGCUGCUUUAAGGGGAUUACACAACCUCCCCAAACUUGGAGGAGGCAUGUAAAAGGUUCCCUGGAUUCACACCAGGAUGUCGUAGUGGAUUUCUGCCCUGUGUUGCCACAUAGGUGUACAGAAGCCUGCUAUGUGCCUGGCUGUCCUGUGCUGAUGGCAGCGCUGACACGUUUGGGUGUUAAACUGGGGCUGGGAGAGAGCAGAGGGGUGGUGCCAUCUCAGGCAGAUGUUGCUCCGUUUUUGCUCUGGGUUGAGGGAAGAGCAGGCUCUCCUAUGCUUGCUUGGGAAUUGGAAGCAGCUCCCUUGUGGUGCCAGCCCUUUCUCUCCGAAAUCCUCUGUGAGUCCCUGUGGCUCCUGUAGGAUGAGGAGAGCUCCAGCAGGCCCAUAAAAAAACAGGAGGUGGAGGAUACAUUGGAAGGGGUGACACAUCCAGUUAGUAUAAAGACUUCUCUUUUAUCUCUAUUUCUCCAAUAAUCAGCCUACCAAAUCCAGACCUGUUCUGGCUCCCUCAAACCACCAGUACUGCUAGGUAUUUUUGGGAUUUGCUGGGAUGUAGGCCCUUUUCAUUAAGGGGUUAUCAAAUCUCGUAUUCUGUAACCCUGAAGCGUUCCUGUCUGUUUGGUUAGUGAAACCUGGUUACAUUAAUCCCGCUGAUAAGACCUGGUGUAUGAAUUUCAUUUCUGCAUAAUGAUCUGAGGGUCCCAUUUUAUUGAAUGUCUAGUUCCCAAUUCAGGGGUAGAGGUGCACAUGUGUGGGUGUGUCUGAGACGGCCUCUUGCCAUGGCUGGGUACAAAUAUUUGCCCUGUAAUGCAGAACACCCCUACGGGUUUCAAAUGAGCUACUUCCUGUCUCUCAGACAUAGAAGUCUGCCGCUAUACUUUUUGUGGAAACCACAUAUCCGAUUCCCAGUUUAACAAAGACACCCUGCAUCAACAGGCUUGUAACAGAGCAAACACUGUUAGUUAAAUCACAUACAGGUAAACAGCCCGCAUCAUUCCUGCUCUGUUCUUAAACCUCAUAGCUCAAAACCCAGUCACCUUAUUUCAUAUUUUUUAAAGGUUAGAAGGAAGAUGACUAUACUUUAAUUUCAAAAAAUGCUAUUGCUUAGAGCUUUUUGUAUUUUUGAAUGCUUGCAGAUUUGUUUGCUAACAAAUGCUGGUGAACUGAAUGCAAUGUCUUGUCUUGCUGUUUGCUGUGUGUCUUCCUCAGCUCUCCAGCAAGCUUUCACAUCAGGGCUGCCACACCAUGAAAGCAUCCUGCCCCUUCAGGUGAUUGAGUCUCAAGGGAAAAGCACCCUGGAGCACUGUUCUAAACUUACUCUAUUUCAAUUCAAUUAUCAUGUGAUAAAGGGAAACUGUGACGAGAGUCCAUUGAGCGGCAGGAGGAAAUGAAGGAGAGGAUGGACUUUGACCAGUACAGGGGAAUUCCUGCUGGCCAUGGACAGCACCAGCUGGCUGUAGUGUACUUACUGGAAGGGGUUUUGAUGUCUGCCAAGUAGAUAAGCUGAUCUCUAAGCCUCCAGAAAGCCCCAUGUGGCUUAAACUGAAUACUUAUUUACUCACCCCACAAAUAAACACACUAUAUCGCUAUACACAGGGAGAAGUGUGUGAUAAAUGUAGUUCUCCUCACUGGCUGGGAUUUAUAACUCUUACGGGAAGUAACGACUUUUGGUUCCUGCAGGUCUAAAUAAGGGUCCAUGGGAAAUGUUCCAGUUUAGUAUUGGUUGUUGUAGGCUGUUCUGGCGAUAGGAAGCAAUGGCUAAUUGAUACUGAAUCCAAAGGUGGUUGCAGAAGGGCUGCUGACAGUCAGGUAGUAUUCUCAGACAUCAGUGUCUGCUUUCUCUGCUUGGGCCAAGCCUUCCCAUUUCUGCAUUAACUCUUGCAUUGAGGCUGUCCAAGUUGUUUUCUUGCAGAAAACUUUGCCCAAUGAGGCUUCUAACACAAUCACGUAACAAACACUGGCUGUAAUAUAUUUUUCAUUAGCAAUCAUCAUGUUCCAGUGGGGUAGGUAGAUUUUCUCUCUAAGUGAAAAGUGUUUGAAGGAAAUGCUGUUGAGAGGCACAGUAAUAGCUAGCUGCUAUAUCAGUGUGGAGGACAGGGUGGCAGGUUUUUGUUGGAGGAGGACUAGGUUUCUGUGGGAUUAGCUCAUAGAUGUCAUAUGGGAAGGGGGAGCAGCAGUAUUUAAGGAAGGAUGAAACCAAGAGUUUGUUUUGGUUUUGAAUUAGAAACCAGAGGAGGAAACGAGCCUGAGGGCAAGGCUGGGGCUGCAGAUCUGGUCAGGUACUCAUCCAGAAAGCCAAACCACUGUAGGGUCAGCAAAAUCCCUUGAGGCUGCAGAGUGCUCACAGCUGGAAAUGAAGCCAAGGUUUUCCUCCUAAUCAGUGACUUACAGAAUGGGCUUCUUGCCCGUGCUCUUUUCCCUGGCCUCACAAGGUGGCAGAGUGCUGCAGCUCCCGUAGGUAUUUGGUGGUUUGCAGGCAUUUGAUGGUUUGAGAAAGAAGGAAGGAUUGCCUCACAGCUAAGUAUUAAGUACUGGUUCUAGUUUUAAAACAAUUUCUGGGACAGUGCAAAGCUUGAUUCCGGUUGCAUCCUUUCAUUGCCAUUUAUUUCCUGUCUUUGGCCUCAAAAUAGCAGAAGUCAGUGCCCACCCAGAGCUGUGGGCACCCGCUGCCUUCCAGUCAGGUCACACACCCAGCAGCUCAAAUUACGCCUGGCUCCUCAGUGGCUGCUCAAGCUACCAAAUGCUGUCAGCCUACUUCUGCCCAUGGAAAGAAUCCUCCAUGGUCCGCAGACCCUCAGAGGCCCCUGUAAACACAAAGAGCUGUAACGAUAGCACUUCUUUUGGAAGAUGGUAUGCAAAAUGUUAACCUCUAACAUAGACAACUGCUAUACCAUUUAGGACCUUCAAAACUAAGACCACUCAAAACAUCCCAGCUAUAAAUCCUGUUGAUGUGAUAAAUAGGAAAGACCUCUGUCAAUACCUAAAUACCAGCUGCCAAGUCUACUCAGCCCCAGCAACAUAAGGUGGCAUAUUCAGCUCCUCAGAUGACAAAAGCAUGACCCAGGAACCAUGAAAUGGCAGCCCAAAAUAAAGGCUGCCUACUCCCCAUGGCCAAAAGCAAGAGGAAGCUGCCUUUGGCCACUGCUGGAACAGGGGGGAAGCCAGGUUGGGUUCCCAAGAUGUGGCCACAGGUGGAUGCACAUCCCUGUCAGUGGGGCAGCAGUAAAUGUCACCAUCUUCUAGCUGGCCAGUGGCAGUGGGACUCCGGACAAAGUGCUAGAGAUUAAGAAAGCAGGAGCCGUGAGUCACCCAGGCUGCCAUCGGGGUAAGUAAAUGUUGUUGUGAAAUGUUUGGACAACCCCCCAAAAAAUGGUUCCUAGUCUCAUUAAUAUGGGAUUCUUAGGCAUAAAAGGACAGGUGGCCUGAUUCUGAACAUUAAACAGAUGUUUCUUGUAGGGAAAAGCCUCCGAGAGAGUGGUUGCUAGCAUUUACUGACCAUAGGAUAAGAGGUUCCUCAUCUGUUGCCACCUGAAGCCCUAGAGUUGGGAGUGUGUCACAGGGCUCAUGUUGUAGUGUCACUUCUCUAGCACUGAGUAUAGCUUGGCAGUUCAAAAUAUAGAUUAAAGCAAUUAAAAUUCCCUUUGAAAUGCAUAUGAAAAUAAUAAAGGUACUCGAGGAACAGGAAAGCAAGGCAGAAUGUGAAAGAAUGCCAGUGGGCUUUCAGGAUUCACUUUUUGGUCUUCAAAUCAACAUUUAUUUAUUUAUUUAUUUUUUAACAACAUGCCUCAACCCCAAAUCCAGAUGGUCAACAGUUCCCUAAUUAUCUGCUAUAGCCAGGUGGGAGCCAGAGCAUGGUAAAGGUAAUGUAAUAUUAUUCCUUUCUAAUUUUAUUAAGAUUUAUUAUCAAAUACUCUGUUGCUUAAAAUAAAAUGACAACUCUGGUCCAUCUUUUCAUCUCAGAGAAAGUUAACUGCUCAGACUGAAGUUAAGCUCCAGCAAUUGAGUCUUGUGCUUUCUAUUAAAGUACAAUUCAAAUCCGUGAGCUUUAUACAGAAAGGAGCAACGCUAAAUCCCCUUAGCACUCUGCCCCCUCAAAAUCACCAGUGGGUUAGAAAACUGACUCAGAUGUUGGGUUUUUCACAGAAAGUUGACUCAGAUGAAAUCGUUAAAUGUCAAAGCCUUUGUCAGGAUGCUGUCAACGUGAGUAGUUCCAAUUAGUUUGGUUAGUGCACUAUUACAGCUUCUCAUCUACCAGUAUUAAAAUGUAGGUGUUGACAUGGCCACCCCUGAUAGCACUGGCAUGAAAUGUUCUUUGAAGAAAAAGGGUGGAUCUGCAAAAUGGAAAUUUACAGUAGCAAAUUUUAGAUUUUCAACAGCUCCUGCUCCUCACUCCCCCCCGCCCUCCCCCCAAGUUUUCAGGAAAUUAGAAAUUUUUUAAAGCCUACAUUGAAGGAAAACAAACAAACAAACAAGAGUUUCUUGAGUCAACAAGAAAUAUUUAGUUGCAUUGGUGCUUUCUGCUGUUUUAUACAAAUUUGCUUUGCUGUCAAAUGAGAGUUUCUCAAGUGGGUAUAUUGUAAUAUGAGGAAAAAACAAUAUCUGUUUCCCAGGAGGUGCAGGGACUAUAAGGACAAACACCUAAGAUAAGAUAAGCAAAACAAUCUAAAUGUCAAUAUUUAGAUUUUGGAAAAUGAAACUCUGUCAAACACACAAGAGUACGUUAAAUGCUCCUUCAAUACCUUAAAUAUAUCCAUAAUAUCUACUUCUUUGAAGUGCACACCUUGGUCUGUACUGUGGUUUGGAUUGGUUCAUCGUUCAGAAAUAUUGAAUAUUGCCUGGAGCGGAGGCUGGGAUUUGAUUGACCAGUGUGCAGGGUUGAUAUAAAUCUCAAAUCCCUUUAAUAGCUCUGGGAUCUGAUCAUGGGAGAUGAUCAUAAUGAUCAUCUGAUCAUUAGUUUGCUUUUGUGAAUACAUUUAAUUUUCUAUCUUCUCCCAUUUUUCCAAUAGGUCUGUCUGUCUUUAGUGUAAAUUUUGUCUGUAACUUGUUCCUCUCUUGUGUAGGGUGCAAAGGUGUCUUUUUACACAACUUUUGCUACAGCAUCAUUAUUAUCAGAAAGAAAAGAAAGAACGUAUAUUAAACAUACAUUAAAAAAAACUGUCAAAAGGCAUUUGAAUGUCUUACAAAAAUAUUGCAAUUUGUUAAUUAUGAAUUAAUUUUAAACACAUUUAUUUAGGUAAGUUAUGAAAUUGGUUUUGUUUGGUAGUAGCAUAUAUAAAUGUGGAACCCUUUAACCCUGACUGGGCAAAAUACCUUUCAUCUGAAAAAAUCGAUCACUGAAAUUUUUUCCCAUUCUUGUAACCAGAUGUUUAACAACAUGCAGACCUUAAUGAAUGCCAUACACAAAUGUUUGUCUUUAUAUAGCAACAAGUCUGCCUGUCAGUGAAAUUGUUUCUGUUUCCCCACAUUGGUCCUUGAGUUCACGCUGUGCAGACGGGGUGAGCAGAUGACAGCACACGGAAAUACUCCCAUUUAUUGAGACUGGGGAUUACCAUCUGGUUUUCUGCUUCUGCUAGAAAUUGAGUCCUAAUAAUAGUAGUGUGUGUGUGCUCAAAACAAAAACAACAUGAUAUCCUUUCUCCAGCUGAGCAGGUCUGUUUUUUUUUUUUUUUAAUUAAUUGUUUUCAAAUACUCAAUUCCUUCUAGGAGAACCUCUGCUCUUUGCCUUAUUAAUUGCUCAUAUUUUUUCAGAGCUGAGUGAGAACAAGUCCUGUGGCUUAGGUCACGCUCAGCUGGAUCUUAUUUAUUAACGCUCCUGGCAAACAAAUUAGCAAGUACCCCCUUACUGCAUGAAUUAACGAGAAUUCCCAGCUCACCAUACGUUUAUUGAGCUAAUAGAUGUAUUUGCUUUGGUUUUCUUAAUGCGCGCUAGGCUCGCAGAAGUGAUACUGCUGAUCUGAAUUCCUCUGUGUGCUGUGGAAAUACUGCUCUGACCACUUCACUUACAAUUCAUGUCAGCUGCUUAGCAACAGUAGCAAUAGUCCAUCAAACCUCCGGAGGGGAUUGAAAACUCAGUCGUUCAUGCUUGAUGUCCAUACCAGACACACUUUAGUAGCUACUGAUGCUUCUGGUUGCAAUGUACUUUAAAAACAAACGAGAUGACUUUUGUGUUUCAAAAAGCCUAACCUGUAAGGCAUUUAGUGUAUUUUCCAUGUCAGGGGCAUGUUUUGGAUUUCAUUAUCUUAGCACAGUACCAUUCCUUUUCUUUUAGCUGCUCUCUGAACAUUAAAAAUCAGACCCUUUCUUGCCUUCCUCCCUCCCACCAUGGCUUUAACGUCAGUAUUUCUUUACCACUAAAAAUAUUAAUUUUACUAGACUUAUUCUAAAAUUGUGUAUCCAGUGGUAGGCACUCUUUUUUCCUGAACAACUUUAAGAAAAUGUGUAUGUAGAUAUGCACACAUAUGGUGGGACUGUGAGCAAACGUUAACAAAAAAAUUUAUUUUAGCCAAAUGAAAUCUGAGCAUCUUUGAUUUCCAGUUUUGUUAGCAAAAAUAUAUAUAUUUAGUGAUAUGUUAGGAUGUCACGUUUGCGUGUGAAUGAACCUGAGAGCAUAAGAGAACUAAGAAUAAAUCUUGAGAUAAAGGGAUAAGACAAAAUACAGAAGGUAACUCAUUUCCUUCAAAACCUAAAAAGAAGGGACUGGAACAUGUAAUUACAUGGAGUAAGACUACUUAUAUGUGUUUUUCAAACACCCUUAAUGUCUUAGGUUUCUCUAUUUGAAUAAAUGAGUGAAUAUUCAAAGAUGAGUAAGGGGACUGUGACAUCUACUCCUUAGCCUGGUUUUGGAAGCUGAAAUUUUGUUUACAGCUUCAGGACAUUGGAGGAGUAUUUCCCAUCCAAGGCCCUCCCUUUACUCCUCCAUCUUUCCCAGAAAAUGUUGGGAUUCCCAGAAUAAAUUCAUAUUCAUAAAUGCGGAGCAGCUCUCACAAUGCAGGCAUCUGCCUGCAGCUGAGUUUCUUGGUCAGAGGCUGAUCCGUGGCUCUCUUUCACAGCAAAGCAGGAGCUCUCUUUGCAGACUUGCCCAGCCAUAGCACUCCUGUGGGAACAGCACAGGUUUUCUGGAGAAAACUCAGCAGGGCUGCACACAAACCAGGGUAUGAAGCCAGGUGGCAGGUGGACCUUGCUUCCUUCAGCUGGGGACAGUGAAUGCCACAGUCACACUACGGAAGAUCUCUGGGCCAGACUUUGUUCUGAAAGCCAAGCGAAAAAAAAACCUGAGGCAGCAUCCAACAACCCUCCUCCUUGUUUUGGCACAGGCAAUAGGGCCUUGCAGGUAUGUUUGGAAGGAAAACCCCUAGCUACAUGGGUCAUUAGGGAGGCUGAGUGGGAAGGGCUGGUUGUUCCCAUACAUCUUUGUAUGGCUCCUACCCCUGGUAUGUGCAUCGGCAGACGGAAACCACCCCCAGGUCCUUUCUGCCAUUCAAUUCCCCUGGUGCCUCCCCUGCCUCUCUGCAGCCAUCAGUUUGUUUCCUGGAAGCAGGAGCAAGAGAGUACACCACAGGGUUGUCCUGCUGCAGUGCAUCUCACGGAAAAAGAAGAUUAAGGCAAAGCAGACGACAAUAAUUGCAAAAUAACCCUGCUCUGGAAUCAGGCAAACUGCCAGAGAACUCUUAUGCAAAAAAAAAAAAAA